This 253-nucleotide ribosomal RNA is filed under the name uncultured bacterium. Its description in RNAcentral is "partial 16S ribosomal RNA". It matches the Rfam family "Bacterial small subunit ribosomal RNA", at positions 524 to 776 of the family's 1533-position model. The record is from RNAcentral.
UACGUAGGGGGCAAGCGUUGUCCGGAUUUAUUGGGCGUAAAGAGCGUGUAGGCGGCUUUACAGGUCCGUUGUGAAAACUCGAGGCUCAACCUCGAGACGCCGGUGGAAACCGUAAGGCUAGAGUCCGGAAGAGGAGAGUGGAAUUCCUGGUGUAGCGGUGAAAUGCGCAGAUAUCAGGAGGAACACCUAUUGCGAAGGCAGCUCGCUGGGACGUUACUGACGCUGGGACGCGAAAGCGUGGGGAGCAAACAGG